UAUGAAUUAAACUCUGUUUUGAGAUUACUAUGGAUCUUAUUGUGUAGUUUACUUUGAUAUGCUUCUUUGUUAGUCUUAUUAGCUAUAUUUGGAGUGUCUAUUAUGAUUUGGACUUAAUUGCUUAAUUGCCUAGCUAACAAUUACCAUGAUAAUCUAUAUGAACUCGAGAGAUGAAUUAUAGAUUUAGAUCUGAUCAUGAUAGCAUGUGUUUGUGAUUUC
RNAcentral lists this long non-coding RNA (219 nucleotides) under Panax ginseng (ginseng). RNAcentral describes it as "long non-coding RNA (PGIN_LNC001780)". The record is from RNAcentral. Lineage: Eukaryota; Viridiplantae; Streptophyta; Magnoliopsida; Apiales; Araliaceae.